CCUACGGGAGGCAGCAGUGAGGAAUAUUGGUCAAUGGACGAGAGUCUGAACCAGCCACGUCGCGUGAAGGAUGACUGCCCUCUGGGUUGUAAACUUCUUUUAUAAAGAAAUAAAACGCGGCACGUGUGCCUUUUUGCAUGUCCUUUAUGAAUAAGGCUAGGCUAACUCCGUGCCAGUAGCCGCUGUAAUACGGAGGAGCCGAGCGUUAUCCGGAUUUAUUGGGGUUAAAGGGAGCGUAGAUGGGAUUUUAAGUCAGUUGUGAAAGUUUGCGGCUAAACCGUAAAAUUGCAAUUGAUACUGGCAGUCUUGAGUACAGUUGAGGUAGGCGGAAUGCGUGGUGUAGCGGUGAAAUGCUUAGAUAUCACGAAGAACCCCGAUUGCGAAGGCAGCUUACUAAACUGUGACUGACAUUGAUGCUCGAAAGUGUGGGUAUCAAACAGGAUUAGAUACCCGUGUAGUC
RNAcentral lists this ribosomal RNA (460 nucleotides) under uncultured bacterium. RNAcentral describes it as "partial 16S ribosomal RNA". It matches the Rfam family "Bacterial small subunit ribosomal RNA", at positions 338 to 795 of the family's 1533-position model. The record is from RNAcentral.